CCCGGUGACUCGAGCGACGAGGCCACACCUGUUCCCAUCCCGAACACAGUCGUUAAGCUCGUCAGCGGCGACAAUACUGCCGGGGCAACCUGGUGGGAAGAUAGCUCGUUGCCGGGA
RNAcentral lists this ribosomal RNA (117 nucleotides) under Chloroflexota bacterium. The record is from RNAcentral. Lineage: Bacteria; Bacillati; Chloroflexota.